This 28-nucleotide small RNA is filed under the name Bombyx mori (domestic silkworm). RNAcentral describes it as "ovarian small RNA-9006". The record is from RNAcentral. Lineage: Eukaryota; Metazoa; Arthropoda; Insecta; Lepidoptera; Bombycidae.
UGUCCGAAGGCCGACCCUGUGGAGGUUC